Molecule: long non-coding RNA, 499 nt
Organism: Hyposmocoma kahamanoa
Lineage: Eukaryota; Metazoa; Arthropoda; Insecta; Lepidoptera; Cosmopterigidae
Exons: 3
Source: RefSeq, a predicted model, not a curated record
GAAUCAUCCAAAUUAGAUAAAAGGGAAUAAGUAAUUCCAUCACUACCAGGAGCAGAGUCUACAGUAUUAGACAAAACGCCUCUCAAUUCUUUCAACGAAAAUGGCAAACUUAACCCUGAUUCAUCAUUUGAAACUAAAACUUUACCAAGAACUAUUUGUUGUUGGGCUAUCGGAGGGGCUAACUUAUCAAUGAACUGUUCAGCAAUAUCAAGAGACAUAAUUAACUUGAGCGACUCAAAGUUCUCGAUAGUCAUACCAUAUCGAUAUCGUUCUUCAGCCUCUUUACGCCUUUUAACAGCUGAGAAGCAGCAAUGACUGAAUAGUCAUCACUAUGAGAAGGAAGAUUAAUUAAAGAAAAGGGAUAACAAUUGCUAAUGAGCAAGGCAACACCGCCAUGCCCAUCAGUUCUGUCUUCGCGAAGACAGGAAAAGCCUGGGAUCUUAAACCUGAACUCAGGUCUAAGCCAGGUCUCAGAUAAAGAAAUAAUAAAAGGAUUAAA